Molecule: ribosomal RNA, 515 nt
Filed under: uncultured bacterium
Lineage: Bacteria
Description: partial 16S ribosomal RNA
Rfam family: Bacterial small subunit ribosomal RNA
Source: RNAcentral
GAUGAACGCUGGCGGCGUGCCCAAUACAUGCAAGUCGAGCGAAUGGAUUGAGAGCUUGCUCUUAUGAAGUUAGCGGCGGACGGGUGAGUAACACGUGAGUAACCUGCCCAUAAGACUGGGAUAACUCCGGGAAACCGGGGCUAAUACCGGAUAACAUUUUGAACCGCAUGGUUCGAAAUUGAAAGGCGGCUUCGGCUGCCACUUAUGGAUGGACCCGCGUCGAAUUAGCUAGUUGGUGAGGUAACGGCUGACCACGGCAACGAUGCGUAGCCGACCUGAGAGGGUGAGCGGCCACACUGGGACUGAGACACGGCCCAGACUCCUACGGGAGGCAGCAGUAGGGAAUCUUCCGCAAUGGACGAAAGUCUGACGGAGCAACGCCGCGUGAGUGAUGAAGGCUUUCGGGUCGUAAAACUCUGUUGUUAGGGAAGAACAAGUGCUAGUUGAAUAAGCUGGCACCUUGACGGUACCUAACCAGAAAGCCACGGCUAACUACGUGCCAGCAGCCGCCGCCG